UGGGGAAUCUUGCACAAUGGGGGCAACCCUGAUGCAGCGACGCCGCGUGAGCGAUGAAGCCCUUCGGGGCGUAAAGCUCUUUCGACCGGAACGAUAAUGACGGUACCGGGAGAAGAAGCUGCGGCUAACUACGUGCCAGCAGCCGCGGUAAUACGUAGGCAGCAAGCGUUGUUCGGAGUUACUGGGCGUAAAGAGUGCGUAGGCGGCUUUCUAAGUUCGGUGUGAAAUCUCCCGGCUUAACUGGGAGGGUGCGCCGAAGACUGGGAAGCUGGAGUGUGGGAAAGGCAGGCGGAAUUCCUGGUGUAGCGGUGAAAUGCGUAGAUAUCAGGAGGAACACCGGCGGUGUAGACGGCUUGCUAGACCAUAACUGACGCUGAGGCACGAAAGCGUGGGUAGCAAACA
This 402-nucleotide ribosomal RNA is filed under the name uncultured bacterium. RNAcentral describes it as "bacterial SSU rRNA". It matches the Rfam family "Bacterial small subunit ribosomal RNA", at positions 355 to 774 of the family's 1533-position model. The record is from RNAcentral.